UUAGAUCCUGAAGUCAAGAUAAACAAUAUACUGACAUCUGCUCUGAUGGAAUAUAAACACCGUCUUUUUCUGGACAAGACCGGACUCUCCUGUCCAGGAGGAUUUUAUACUGAAAUAUAAUGAUUAUAUGAUUAUUUUUAUUAUUUGGCCACAUGAGCAGCAUGGCUGUUAGCGGAAUUUUCAGCUCAUUCUUCCUGUUUUUGUUUUUGAUCUGGACCGAGGACACAUCACUUCGCUGUUUCCAAGGUUUGGAUCGUCAUAAGAAAUAAAUUCAGUUCAUCUGAGAAACUACAGCUGGAACACGGCGACCAAAAUCUGUAAGAAAGCCGAAGGAUGAGAGACGGAGAGAAGUAAAGUCUUUCUAAAAUCCCCACACUGAGUGCAGUUACUGAUGCAGGUGGUCGUCGGUCAGCUGUCUGUCCAGCCGCCCGCAGAUUAGUGCAGUGGAAGAGGAUUAGAAACCUGUUCAUGUGUGGAGGUGAGGAUGUGAGACUGUCAGAGGAGGAAACGCUCCAGAGCUCCGUCCGGCCGUUCUCUGGCACCGGUGACCCGUUACACACUGACCCCACUGCUGUGACCCGGUGCUGUUUUCAGAACUAGCAGUAACACAGUGAUGAUGCGUGUGAUUGUUACUUGCAUUAAUAUC
This is a long non-coding RNA of Hemibagrus wyckioides, 646 nucleotides long. RefSeq lists it as uncharacterized. The record is from RefSeq and is a predicted model, not a curated record. The transcript has 4 exons. Lineage: Eukaryota; Metazoa; Chordata; Actinopteri; Siluriformes; Bagridae.